Long non-coding RNA from Carassius gibelio (silver crucian carp), 985 nucleotides. RefSeq lists it as uncharacterized. The record is from RefSeq and is a predicted model, not a curated record. The transcript is spliced from 3 exons. Lineage: Eukaryota; Metazoa; Chordata; Actinopteri; Cypriniformes; Cyprinidae.
CUUGUCAACGAGCGGAGUGAAGAGAUUGAACGCAUGUUCCUGAGUACCUGAUAUUAAUCUUUGGAGUUUGCCUACUUUGUGUGCGUUUAUGCAAAGUGACCAACAGUUCCUGUUCCAUCAACAAUACCCUGCUGGUAGAUGUCUUAACUACACCAUACUUCAGGAUCCAGUCAUUUUCACGGCUUAAUACCUUCAAAAUUUACCCCACAAUCUGAGGUUUGUUGUUUUGCAUAUUGUGUCAUUUAUAUUGCCUGUCAAAGUACAUAUUAUCUGGCCCAUGCUUGGUGUUGCUGCAAAGAAAUUUCCUGUCAGGUCUGAAAAAAGGCUGACCUAUCAGUCAAUCAAUCAAUCAAUCUAGUGCAACGGAAAUCACGUAUGCUUGCAUUCAGCAAUAGCGUGCCACUCUUCGUUUAGAAGGUUUGCUAAAUUCUGCGUCUGUGUUUAUUGCCGUUGCUGUAUAUAUGAGUGUGUCUAAGAGCAUUUGUGAGGAAGGAAAAGUUUUGUGUGUUACUUGCAGUCGCUGCCAAGUCUCAUCUGAUCUUCACAUAGAACAUGCUAAAGGUCAUGAUGUUGCAGCACACCACAAUGACUUUCCCUGAUCUCUGUAGAUGCAUAUAAAAAGAUGCCCGCUUCUUAUUCGCACCAGCUUUGAUAUCUGUUAAAAUUGUACGAUAUUGGGUUUAUAUUUUGGUUUGAUAUUUUAAAGGUAUCCUUGUUACAGUGUUAUUAACAUUACUUAACAAAAUGUACGCAGGAGUAAGGUUUAAGGUGAAUUUCCUGUAAUUAUGCAUAGUUUACUGUUAUUCCUAUACUAAUACAUAAGUGUUACAAAGACACUGCUGGUGUAAAAUAAAGUGCUACACAAUAUUAUCUCUUGACAAUAUUAUUUACACUGUAAAAUAGAGUGCUACACAAUAUUAAAUAUUAAAUCUCUUGACAAUAUUAAGGCCGUCAAACCUAAAUACUCCAAUCUCUAUUAUUUAGU